UACGAAGGGGGCUAGCGUUGUUCGGAAUCACUGGGCGUAAAGCGCACGUAGGCGGAUUCUUAAGUCAGGGGUGAAAUCCCGAGGCUCAACCUCGGAACUGCCUUUGAUACUGGGAAUCUUGAGUGUGGUAGAGGUUGGUGGAACAGCAAGUGUAGAGGUGAAAUUCGUAGAUAUUUGCUAGAACACCAGUGGCGAAGGCGGCCAACUGGACCAUAACUGACGCUGAGGUGCGAAAGCGUGGGGAGCAAACAGG
Molecule: ribosomal RNA, 253 nt
Filed under: uncultured bacterium
Lineage: Bacteria
Description: partial 16S ribosomal RNA
Rfam family: Bacterial small subunit ribosomal RNA
Source: RNAcentral